Zea mays is the source of this 84-nucleotide non-coding RNA. Lineage: Eukaryota; Viridiplantae; Streptophyta; Magnoliopsida; Poales; Poaceae. The record is from Rfam.
GCCUUUGAUGACAUGAUGGUUACAGACGAGGCAAAAUUUUGUCUAAUCUGUUGAUAUUUAUCAUGAACUAGGACGGUCUGAGGC